GAUGAACGCUGGCGGCGUGCUUAACACAUGCAAGUCGAGCGGUGGAAGCAGAACUUGGUCUUCUUGAUCUGUGCCGCACAGGUGAGUGACACACGUGCAUUAUCCACCUAUCAGUCUGGUAUGCCUUCGAAAAGGCGUCUAUUAUUGGAUACGAGCUUCGAAAGCAUCUUCUUCAAAUGGGAAGGAUGGUCUUCCUGUCAGUGCUAGCUGGAUCUGCGCUUCAUGAGCUAGUUGUUAAGCUAACGGCUUACCAAGGCAACGAUGCCUAGCCGACCUGAGAGGGUGGUCGCCCACACGGGAACUGAGACGCGGACCAGACGCCUACGGGAGGCAGCAGUAGCGAAUCUUCGGCAGUGGGCGAAAGCCUGACGGAGCAACGCCGCGUGAGUGAUGGAGGUCUUGGGAUCGUAAAGCUCUGUUAUUAGGGAAGAACAUAUGUGUGAGUAACUGUGCACAUCUUGACGGUACCUAAUCAGAAAGCCACGGCUAACUACGUG
RNAcentral lists this ribosomal RNA (497 nucleotides) under uncultured bacterium. Its description in RNAcentral is "partial 16S ribosomal RNA". It matches the Rfam family "Bacterial small subunit ribosomal RNA", at positions 28 to 507 of the family's 1533-position model. The record is from RNAcentral.